CAAGGAUCUAGACCUUUGGCACCUAUUAUUUGUAUUACCGUAGCACCAAAGAGGCCUAGUCAAUUAGGCACCUACAUGCUUUUGAAAAUCCCUCUAGGCUUCUAGUUCCAUCUGUAUGUACCAAAAUAUCUUUUAAAAUCUGCCAUGGAGCCCUUAGGAACCUUGUCUUUUAAUGAGAUUUAGCACCCUAGGUGCCUAAAUCAUUUUUGAAAAUGGACUUAGGAGCCUAAGUCAUUUAGAUAUCUCUGAAAAUCUCAGGCAAAGCUCACAUGUCUAUCUCCCCUCAUGAAUGGAGGGAUUAUUUUUCUGCCUCCUGUUUAGGCACCACCAGUUCUGAGGAGACAAAGCAAAAUCUUUCCCCCUCCCCUUUUCUGGUUGGAAUGGUUUGAGGUGGUUUAGGAGGUUCGGAGGGGAUCCACAUGUAAAACGCUAGUUAUUUAGGUCUGUACAAGGAGCUGCUUUCUUUGCCAUCAUUCCUCACCCGUGUUAACAGCCGGCCAGGGAAAGGCAGGGGUGGGGGAGACUUGGCUUGCAGGUUUCACUCUGAUUCUUCGCUCUGAUUUCUCAAAAGACUCAUAACACUUUUGAAAGAGACUGAGAGAAAUAAUUAAGCCAAAGAGCAAAUUGAAGGCCAGGGCCUAUAAUUCUUUGGGCAAAGAUCCUGCUCCUGCUGUAAUUAGCAUUUCCUGCUGAUGUUAUUAAUCGAGUCAGGAUCCCCACCUGCACGUUUCUAAAAGGGUUGGGCAGAAGCUGUCUUCCAUUUCCAUGCGAUGGUGGCGAGGAGGAGAGGGGUCAGCUUACCAUGUGCAUUUCCUGAGGAAGUGGGCAGCACCUAGGAGUCGUGGAUCAGCAUCCUAUUGGAUCUGGCGCUGUACAUGCACAGAACAAAGACAGUCAUUGCAUCAUCGGCUCUGCAUGAACAGCGGAACUACUUCUGUGCGCUGUUCUUGUUCCACUGGAAGGAGAAGCCUCCUUCACUUUCCUUAGUUUUAUUUACGUGGGUUUGAUUAAAUGCCCGGUUGCACACCACGAGCAUGCAUGGAUGAGACAGAGACAGGAUGCAAACCAACUCCCCCCCCCUCCAAAAAAUCAUACACAUUGUGUACACAGUGCUACAUUUCCUGACCACUUAGCAGCCAAAUCAAUCACCUAAAUUUUUGCAGGUUAAAAAAAAAUCAAAUCACACCCCAACCAAGAUAGUUAUACCCGUACAACAACAGUGUGCAGAGCAACCCUUAGACACAGACUCUGGGUUUGUCUACAUGGAGCAGCAACACACGCUACAGAGGUGAGAUUUCUAAAGUGCACUGAUGGGUUGCACACAUUAAUGGCUGCACGUAGACUCUGCUAGUGCAAACAGAGUUCCCUAGUGCACUUGAAUGUCGUGCUAAACAGCUCACUGUUCAGAUAUCCUCCCAUUCUCUCUUCCAAAGAGUGACGGUGCUGAGGACCUGGUCCAGGGCCAGGGACUUCAUCAAAGUUCGAAUAUCCUCGCUCUUUGCUUAGGCCAUCUGGGAUCCCAGCCAUAGGUAACCCCAUUCUGUUUCUGGGAGAAGUGCGCCCUGAGGUCUUGCUCCAUGGCAGCCACUUGGAAUUUUUCCUUUGGACAAGAGGCAAACAGAGGCCUCUGGAAAUUAAUUGUUAGGCUUAAACUUCACUAAGUGUGAUGGUGGAUUCUCUAUCCCUGGCGAUUUGUAAACCAAGGCUGGAUGUUUGUCUAAAAGCUCUGCUCUGGGAAUGAUCCUGGGGCAGUUCUCUGGCUUGUGGUACACAGGAGGUCGGACUAGAUGAGCCCAGUGAUUCCUUCUGGCCCUGAGUUGGUUAUUCAUGGAAGAGGAACGAGCGCCAGUUUAUCAGGAAUGGCUUGGUCUGGGAGCAGACUUUCAUGUCUCAUGCUGGGGCUGUGCAUGGGCACAAAUGGGAAGGUUUUUUUAAUUCCUGUAUGCAAAAAAGUACGUCCUGUUGGUUCCCGGCCUGUUAGGAGAUGGAGUCUGCCCAGAGAAGGUUGUGCACACUAGAGAGGGCAUAUGUGCUUCUCUCCAGUGCUUCCAUCUGUGGAUCUGAAAACUCAGCCUCACAACAGCCUCGAGAAGUCUGCAUCAUCCCUGGAUUAGUGCUGGGAUAUGUGAGGAAACAGAGGGGAGGCGACUUGCUCCCAGGCAGUGACAGAGCUGGGCCUCCCCCCAAGGAAUGCAGCGUAGUUUACUGGGCAGAACAUUGGGCUGGGACUUGUGACACGGAGGGGCUCGCUGCUCCAUCCGCUGGGUGACCUCAGGCAAGUCAUGUCCCUGCUCCGUGCCUCAGUUUCCCCUAUCUGUAAAAUGGGGAUAAUGCUACUGACAGUCUUUGUAAAGCGCUUUGAGAUCCAGUGAGGAAAAACACUAUAUCGGAGCUAGGUAUUAUUAAUAUUUCCUCUGCCCUAACCACUAGGCCACCACUCCUCUCCCAGAGCUUGGAACAGAACCCAGCAGUCCUGACACCCGUCCCCACUUCCUCUGCUGUAGCCCCUAGACCCCAACUCCCUUCCAGGGCUGGGAAUAGAAACCAGGUGUCCUGACUCACAGUUAUCUGCCCCACCACCCCUUCCUUCUGUUUCUAUUGUUUGUGUGAACCGUCUCCAAGAUGGAUUCUUUCCCAUUAACAGUUUUCUACUAACAUCUAACACUGCCGCUGCUUUAUUUCCCUGUGACCUUCAAACAGACCCUCAGACGAAGCAGCGGAGGGGAAAGCGCCUUUGAAAUACUUCCUUUGGGACCUUAGUCCUGGCCUAGCAGGGUGUGUGCCGGCAGGCAGGCAUCGAUCCAUGAAUACAAGACAAUGUAAUAGACUUUCCACCAAAAACAGCAACAGCCUCCACAAUUCCUGGGUGCCUCUGAUAAAUUAAUUUCUUCACACUCUUUUUACCAGGAUAAUAGCUGGCAUGAUCGCAGUUAAUAGCAACGGAGCAGUUGUCUCCAUGACAACAUUAGACCCUAUUAAAAUCACCCUCAUCUGUCUGUCUCCUAGGGACAAUAGGAACAACUGAGGGGAAGGGCAGAAAUGAUAUUGGGGCUUGUUUGUUUAUCUCUCUUGCUUUAAGGUUCCCCAUAUCUCCGUUGAGUUGGUCCAAAGCCCAGAAAACUCCUCAGUGGACUCUGGUCUAUUUCGGAGCGAUCUAUCAAGGGGAGAACUGCAGUUUUAGAGCCGCACAGGGGCCAGUUCCCAUGUACACUCAGGCCUCUUUACGGCCAUUCAGCAGCAAAAAGGGCCUUGGUACAGUGGGCACAGAUUAACUGACGCUCAAUUGGAAGCCCCUUUCCCAUGCCGGAGCAGUGCCACGGAGAACAAAGCGCCCCAGAAUUUAAGAUUGGAUUGUGGAGGAAGAUGGAGCAGUGAGUCACCAGUCCACCCACAUGUGGCCAGUUUCAGCCCCUGGGCUCUCAAGGGUUUUUAUUAUAUGGGCUGGGGUGGGGAGAAAGUGCUUCCUACAUCACUGGCAGCCAUUGGGACUGCUUUGGUCUAAGCCCACUGGAGCGUCACAUUUAGAGCCAGUCUCUCAACUCAGGUUUGCCAGGCGGGUGGCACAAGGUUACCACCGUCUAACAGCCAACAAAACUGGGAUACUUCUUGUCCUAACCCCGCUCUUGGUAUCUCUCGAUCUUCGGCUCCUUCCAGUUACCCAGAACAGUCUUCUUGUCUCCCUUCCCUGCCAUCUCCCCCCUAUGCACACACAAAGCUUCUGCACAGAUUUUGCUCUCUGCCUCUGGCCUCCAUCCCCCUCCUCGUUGCUUUUCCUGCUGCAUUAAGAUGUGCAGGGUAUUUAACUGCAUUAGGUAAUUCUAGAAUGGCGUAACGUUUCUGUGACUUAGAUCUCUAAAGCAGUUCACGAUUCAAAGCACCUCUGUCCCAUGAUUAGGGCCAAAGAAGGUAGACGGUACCAUCGGUAGUUUUAUGCUAGUAACUUGUACUCUCAAUGUGCACACUUACCUAGUGGUCAGAGGACAGGCCUGGGGUCAGAAAAUUGUCCCAUUAGUCAUAAGCAGCAGCGAGAGAAUACGGUUUGCCACUGAGUCACUUUGUGAUCUUGGCCAAAUCUGCCCUAGUUUGCUCAUCUGUAAACCAGGUGGAAAUGACAGUUGCCCAGCUCUGCAAAGUGCUCUUCAGUCCUGUGGAGAACGGUGCUGCAGCUGCUCUGUCUCGGCCAGUGGCUCUCAACCUUUCCAGACGACUGUACCCCUUGCAGGCGUCUGAUUUGUCUUAUGUACCCCAAGUUUCACCUCACUUAAAAACCACUUGCUUGCACAAUCAGACAUAAAAAUACAAAAGUGUCAGAGCCUGCUAGUGUUGACAAAUGGCUGACUUGCUCAUUUUUACCAUAGCACUAGAAAAUAAAUGGAUUGGAAUAUAUUGCAUUUACAUUUCAGUGUGAUACUUCAGCCUGUUUUUUCCACUUGUGAGCUUUGUCUGAAGCACGAGCCCUGCCGCCCGGGGCUGAAGCAUGUAACUUAGCUUCAUAGAGACUCCUGUGAUGUGAGGCCCUGGGCAACUGCCCUGCUUGCCAGCCCCUAUGGCCUGCCCUGCACUUGCAAUCCCCCAAACCUGUCCCAUAACCACCAGAUUGAGAAACACUGAUCAAGAUAAGUUGAGUACCCCCUGGAAGACCUUUGUUCACCCCCAGGGGUACACGUACCCCAGCUGAGAACCACUGCU
Dermochelys coriacea (leatherback sea turtle) is the source of this 4689-nucleotide long non-coding RNA. RefSeq lists it as uncharacterized. The record is from RefSeq and is a predicted model, not a curated record. Lineage: Eukaryota; Metazoa; Chordata; Testudines; Dermochelyidae. The transcript is spliced from 3 exons.